This is a non-coding RNA of Phalacrocorax carbo (great cormorant), 428 nucleotides long. Lineage: Eukaryota; Metazoa; Chordata; Aves; Suliformes; Phalacrocoracidae. The record is from RefSeq and is a predicted model, not a curated record.
UUGGGUUUUGUGGGCCCCCAGGGAACAACCGUAGGUGUCUGGGAGAGGGAGCUAGAGUUCUAGCUGAGCAGAUAGCAUGUCAAGGGUGUUCCGGCUUGUCUGUGAGCUGGGCUUGAUGUUUGAUGUAUUGUGCUCAUGUUUAAGAGCAGCCCUAGUUGUGCUCUCAAGGGGUGUUCCUACAUGCGAUCGAGACCUGUGUUGUGGUUCAGCUGUCGCCGUGCACGCAGGUGACUUGUUUGGUAUUGGUUUGGCAGAUGCCGAGGGAGGAGUCGUGCAGGGUGAUGGAGGACGGCGCUGUCAGCAGGAGCCGAGCGGGAUCUGGGCACCGGAGGGGAAUCGCACAGGGUGGUGGGCGAGCCUCAAGGUGGCGACCGUAUCUGAUGGAGGCCAGGCAGGUGCCGCCUGCAGGCUUCGGAGGGGAGACGCCG